CCUACGGGAGGCAGCAGUCGAGAAUUAUUCACAAUGGGGGAAACGCUGAUGGUGCGACGCCGCGUGGGGGAAUGAAGGUCUUCGGAUUGUAAACCCCUGUCAUGUGGGAGCAAAUUAAAAAGAUAGUACCACAAGAGGAAGAGACGGCUAACUCUGUGCCAGCAGCCGCGGUAAUACAGAGGUCUCAAGCGUUGUUCGGAAUCACUGGGCGUAAAGCGUGCGUAGGCUGUUUCGUAAGUCGUGUGUGAAAGGCGCGGGCUCAACCCGCGGACGGCACAUGAUACUGCGAGACUAGAGUAAUGGAGGGGGAACCGGAAUUCGCGGUGUAGCAGUGAAAUGCGUAGAUAUCGAGAGGAACACUCGUGGCGAAGGCGGGUUCCUGGACAUUAACUGACGCUGAGGCACGAAGGCCAGGGGAGCGAAAGGGAUUAGAUACCCGUGUAGUC
RNAcentral lists this ribosomal RNA (446 nucleotides) under uncultured bacterium. RNAcentral's name for it is "partial 16S ribosomal RNA". It matches the Rfam family "Bacterial small subunit ribosomal RNA", at positions 338 to 795 of the family's 1533-position model. The record is from RNAcentral.